GUUCAGUAGGUAUGAUAUUGUCCUGUAGGUAUGAUAUUGUCCUGUAGGUAUGAUAUUGUCCUGUCAGUACAGUCCUGUAGGUAUGAUAUUGUCCUGUAGGUAUGAUAUUGUCCUGUCAGUACAGUCCUGUAGUUAUGAUAUUGUCCUGUCGGUAUGAUAUUGUCCAGUCAGUACAGUCCUGUAAGUAUGAUAUUGUCCUGUAGGUAUGAUAUUGUCCUGUCAGUACAGUCCUGUAGUUAUGAUAUUGUCCUGUCGGUAUGAUAUUGUCCAGUCAGUACAGUCCUGUAAGUAUGAUAUUGUCCUGUCAGUACAGUCCUGUAGGUAUGAUAUUGUCCUGUAGGCAUGAUAUUGUCCUGUCAGUACAGUCCUGUAGGUAUGAUAUUGUCCUGUCAGUACAGUCCUGUAGGUAUGAUAUUGUCC
Oncorhynchus mykiss (rainbow trout) is the source of this 420-nucleotide non-coding RNA. The record is from RefSeq and is a predicted model, not a curated record. NCBI's taxonomy places the organism in Eukaryota, Metazoa, Chordata, Actinopteri, Salmoniformes, Salmonidae.